GGUUUCGUGGUCUAACGGUUAUGACUGCGGAUUCCGAUUCCGCCAGCGAGGGUUCAACUCUGUCCGAGACCU
This 72-nucleotide transfer RNA is filed under the name Fusarium langsethiae. It matches the Rfam family "tRNA". Rfam says of the family: Transfer RNA (tRNA) molecules are approximately 80 nucleotides in length. Lineage: Eukaryota; Fungi; Ascomycota; Sordariomycetes; Hypocreales; Nectriaceae. The record is from Rfam by way of RNAcentral.